This 2877-nucleotide ribosomal RNA is filed under the name Triticum aestivum (bread wheat). RNAcentral's name for it is "partial small subunit ribosomal RNA". Lineage: Eukaryota; Viridiplantae; Streptophyta; Magnoliopsida; Poales; Poaceae. The record is from RNAcentral.
AUGGCUUCCAUGGCCACGAACAACCUUCAAACUGGAGAUGCAUCACCAACCGAGCAGGACCCUGCAAAUGGCAGCGGCAAGCCUCCCCAAAAGCCUUGUGCAGACUCAAAGCUGUAUGAGUUCAAGGAGCAACUCCUGCUGCUGUCGACUCUGGUGGCAACGGUGACGUAUGUCGCCGGUCUGAACCUGCCGGGCGGGUACUGGGAGCAGGAUGACCCCGGAGGGCACAUGGCCGGCGAUCCGAUCCUACGGGAUACCCAUUACCGCCGGUACCUCAUCUUCUACUACUGCAACGCCACAGCACUCGCCGCGUCGCUCGUGGUCUCACUCAUCCUCAUCAUCCUGAAGAGGAAGGACCAUGUUUGGACAGUGGUGCUGCGGGUGGUGAUGGUUUUGGACCUGCUCGGCCUCAUGGGCGCCUACGGUGCAGGGAGCUGCCGGGAUGCGUUCACAACGAUCUACGCGGGGGUAACCUUCUUCCUUUUGGUAUUGAUCAUCAUUGCUGUUUUCUUCUACGUCUCGGUCAAUGGUGGUGGUGGGGAUAACUCCAGCUCCAAAAACAAUACCAGCUCGCAUCCUGUCUCAGUCUCCAUCCCCAUAUACGAUCCUAAAUCGAACCCUGACUCCAACUCCAUCCCCAUCUCCGUUUCCAAAUCAAAUCCUGACUCCAACUUGAACUUGGAAACCAAGAAAGAAGAGAAGGAGAAGAUCAAUGUGUUGAUGUUACUCGCAACCUUUGUCGUCACCAUCACGUACGUAGCUGGGUUGAACCCGCCCGGUGGCUUCUGGAGCAGCACCCAAGACAGACACCGUUUGAGCGACCCGGUGUUACAAGCCCGUGGUCGGUACCGUGGCUUCUUUGUUUGCAACACCACUUCGUUCGCCGUGUCCCUGCUCAUCAUCGUGUUGCUCUUGGAGAGGAAGCUACUGAAGGACAAGCUAAGCCAGAACUUCACGGUGCGAUUCUUGGCGCCAUACGUGUGGAUCGCCGUCACAAUGUUGGGCCUUAUGGGGGCCUAUGCUGCUGGGGGCUGCAGGGAGGCUGACAAUACCACUCUUGUCCUUGCGGUCCCUGUCGGCGUAUGCCUACUGCUGUGGUUUAUUACUUACAGAAAUGGUUGGGAACAGCUCACGACCAAGCUUCAUGAUGUUUCGACAAAUUUCAAGGUGCUGUUCGGCAUUCCUAAAGGCACCUGCGAAGGCGCGAAGGAAGCACAUCAGCAAAAUACCCGCUAUCUUGUUAUGCUCCUAGCUACUCUUGUUGUGACCAUCACAUACCAAGCCGGCCUAGAUCCACCCGGAGGCCUUUGGCUAGACAACCAGGAUGGGCACAAGAUGAGCCACCCAGUGCUCCAAAUGACACAUCCUACUCGGUACAGAGUGUUCUUCUAUAGCAACUCGGCAGCUUUUGUCACAUCUUUGGUCGUCAUCAUGAUGCUCCAGAGCAAAUUUCUUCUCAACCGGCACACACUGGAAGCAACCCUGGUGCUGGACCUAUUUGGCCUCGUUACUGCAUAUGGUGCUGGGAGCACUAGGGACGUAAACGCAUCCUUCUACAUCAUCGCCUUGGCAGGCAUUGUCCUUGUCUAUGUCAUCGUCCAUAUCACCAUAACAGAUCAUGCCCCUGAGCCAGAGGAUGGUGCUGCUGUACUGAAGGAUCUCGAUGACAAGCGCAAGGUGCUACUGUUGGUUGCAAUCUUGGCCGCUACCCUCACGUACCAAGCUGGUCUCACCCCACCUGGUGGCUUUUGGUUAGCGGAUGACCAAGGGCUCGAUCGGCAUGCAGGUUUCCCUGUCCUCUUCAACAAUUACCCUCGCCGUUACAAUGCAUUCUUCUACUGCAAUGCGACGAGCUUCAUGGCGUCUAUAACCCUCAUUCUUCUCCUAGUCAAUCCGAAGCUAUACAGGCCAGGUAUACGUUGUUAUGCACUCUAUGUGUGCAUGUUGGUGGGAAUGUUUGGCCUGAUGGGUGCCUAUGCUGCUGGAAGCGCUCGACAACUGAAGACCUCCAUCUAUGUAUUAACCUUGGUUGGUAUGGUUUUAGCCUUUAUAGCCUUUCUAGUUUUCAUUUUCUGGUUCAUCAUCAAGUCUGAAGCCAGCAGUAAAGAUGGGCAAGAUGAAGCAGUUCAUAGUAAUACCGACAAAAACAUCAUCAGCAGCAGCAGUACUACCACCAGCAUCAACACUAGUGUUGUCGACGCUGCCACCACCACCACCACCAUCAUCACCACCACCAUUACCACUACCACCACUAGCAACAACAUCAACAGCAGCAGCAACAACAACGACAAUCAAAGCAAUAGCAACAACACCACCAGCAGCAGCAAGGACAAGAAUGAGAAAGAGAAAGAGAAAGAAACGGUUGAAUACUUCAUGUUGUUGGGAAUCCUGGCUGCGAGUAUGACAUACCAGAUAGGCCUAAAACCACCGGGAGGCCUGUGGCAAGACAACGACAAUGGACACUCUGUUGGCAACCCCGUCCUCCACGACAUCAACAAGCAUCGGUACGACGUUUUCUUCUACAGCAACUCCACUUCCUUCAUGGCCUCAAUUGUUGUCAUUGUCCUGCUCCUUCCAUGGACGACGAGCCACAAACGGAAACCGCCGCUCUGGCUAAUGCAUAUGGCUAUUUUGCUGGACAUGCUUAGUCUCCUAGUGGCAUACGCAGCAGGCAGUACUAGGAAGUGGGAAACAUCCAGAAACGUCAUAUUCAUCAUCAUCCCCGUCUUGUUAUACAUUGCGAUCUACGCAGCUGCGUCAGUCCUCUUCCCAAAGGAGGGCCGGACUUUCUGGACAUGCUUGACCUCCUGGUGGCAUACGCGGCAGGAAAUCAGUAAGAAGCCUACACAGCUUCUUCCCCAGGAAAGACCGGUGUGA